AAAGAAGUACGCCAUUAUUGUGCUUCUUAGUUCACUAUUUUCAUUCAUAUAUUGAGAAGUCAAUAUUUUCUGUAAUUUUUGUGGUUAUUUCUCUUCACCGCGGCAUGUCAACAACAUGUCCUGCGGUAGAUAAUUAAAAAGAAAGGGGCAUGUCACCCGGCAUUCCCGACACUUGUUGGCAGCGUGUCAGAGUCCUGUUAGUGUCCUAAAUGCGUCGGAGACUGACUCGCUGCUCCGUGCGCUUGUCGAUGUUUCGUAGGUAGGAUAUUGACUAGAAAAGGAAGGUGGCAAGGUCCUUGGGAUGAAGAAGUUGUUAUUUCUGGAGAAAUAAAGAAUAUCACCUCGAUCUAGUUGUGCUGUUACAAUCAAACAGUUGCGGACAUAGGGUAGUGAUAGCACAAAUGGUUGUCAAACUUCUCUUUUAUCUCACUAUUUAAUUUACCAGUUAUUCCAGUAAUUUCUUUACUAUGCAACAACUCUGGCUAAUUAUUUUGAGGAUGCUGAUUUUUGCCUUUUAUGUUAGUUUGCUGGCAGGAUGUUGAUGGAUGAUAUGUGAACAUAUGUUGUUACCUUGAGUGACCUUGUUUAUCAAUCUUUGAUUAUUUGGUGGACN
RNAcentral lists this long non-coding RNA (613 nucleotides) under Olea europaea (common olive). RNAcentral's name for it is "long non-coding RNA (OEUR_LNC012575)". The record is from RNAcentral. Lineage: Eukaryota; Viridiplantae; Streptophyta; Magnoliopsida; Lamiales; Oleaceae.